Molecule: ribosomal RNA, 446 nt
Filed under: uncultured bacterium
Lineage: Bacteria
Description: partial 16S ribosomal RNA
Rfam family: Bacterial small subunit ribosomal RNA
Source: RNAcentral
CCUACGGGUGGCAGCAGUCGAGAAUCAUUCACAAUGGGGGAAACCCUGAUGGUGCGAAGCCGCGUGGGGGAAUGAAGGUCUUCGGAUUGUAAACCUCUGUCAUGUGGGAACAAAUUAAAAAGAUAGUACCACAAGAGGAAGAGCCGGCUAACUCUGUGCCAGUAGCCGCGGUAAUACAGCGGUCUCAAGCGUUGUUCGGAAUCACUGGGCGUAAGGCGUGCGUAGGCUGUUUCGUAAGUCGUGUGUGAAAGGCGCGGGCUAAACCCGCGGACGGCAGAUGAUACUGCGAGACUAGAGUAAUGGAGGGGGAACCGGAAUGCUCGGUGUAGCAGUGAAAUGCGGAGAUAUCGAGAGGAACACUCGUGGCGAAGGCGGGUUCCUGGACAUUAACUGACGCUGAGGCACGAAGGCCAGGGGAGCGAAAGGGAUUAGAUACCCUGGUAGUC